RNAcentral lists this transfer RNA (51 nucleotides) under Leptotrombidium akamushi. RNAcentral's name for it is "tRNA-Val". Lineage: Eukaryota; Metazoa; Arthropoda; Arachnida; Trombidiformes; Trombiculidae. The record is from RNAcentral.
UGAUAUGUUUUAAAAAAUUUACAAUUUUUUCUCCCGAAUUUGGCAUAUCAU